GUGAGCUUAAAUAUGGUGCAUGCAUAGCAGCAUGUAAUGUGGAAAACAAAAAUGAACACAAAAAUGCAAGAUUAACACAAAAUGAAAGUGUGCUUUUAAGAAAUAACUACAAAGAGCUUCAUAUAAAAGAGAGCAGUCUCUCUCAGGCUCCUUCAGUGUUCAUUUCGCUCUUGUGAAGGGAUGCUGGAGAACCUAGACCAGUUUGUCUGUUCACUUGUCUGUUCAUCUGGCAUUCAAUGAGAUAAAGAUUUAUGGUCCCAGUGACUGAAAAACAAUAGUCCCUAAAGUAAAACCAAAGGCACAUUUUGAAGGUUGUCAUGGUCCUGGGCCAUGUGGGCCCAGCAUUCUUAGUUUUCAUGUAUUUUUGUAUUUUGUUCUUUAUUUAGGCCAUGCUUCCUGGGUUGAUCUGUUACGUUGUUCCUUAUGUGUUUUCCCUUCGUGACUCUUACCCCCUGUGUGCCCCUCUGUGUAUUUAUGAGCCCUCGUCUCCCUUUGUGGUUGUUUCAUGUUUCCCCAGCCCGUUAUGUCUGUGUUUUUCCCCGUGCUCUCUCUCCUCCUGUCUGAACCUCUGUGCCUGUACAUGUCAUGUUCAGUUCACCCAGCCCUGUCUCGUUAUGAUUAUCAGUGUCACCUGUGUUCCCCGUGUGUGCCCACUUUCCUCGUUUACCCUCUGUGUAUUUCUGUCUGAGUCUCCCUCUGUUCGGUGUCGUGUUCUCCCUCAUGCUGUGUGUGAUUCCCCUGUGUUCCUUGGUGAGCUUUAUGUUAGUUUUUCCCAGUUUAGUUUUGUAUUGUUUCUCGUGGCCAGCAAUAAAGCUGUGUUUUUGAGUUCACCCCCGUGUCGUACUACGGUGUACAUUUUAGGACAUCGUCAGGUAUCAGACAAAAAAUUGUCAGGUGUCAGUUGUCAAAAAAAAAAGUUGUCAGGUAUCAGAAAAAAAAUUGUCAGGUGUCAGAAAAAAAAUUGUCAGGUGUCAGUUGUCAAAAAAAAAAAAAGUCAGGUAUCAGAAAAAAAAUUGUCAGGUGUCAGAAAAAAAAUUGUCAGGUGUCAGUUGUCCAAAAAAAAAAAAGUCAGGUAUCAGAAAAAAAAUUGUCAGGUGUCAGAAAAAAAGUUGUCAGGUGUCAGACAAAAAAUUGUCAGGUGUCAGUUGUCAAAAAAAAAAAAGUCAGGUGUCAGAAAAAAAGUUGUCAGGUGUCAGAAAAAAAAUUGUCAGGUGUCAGAAAAAAAAUUGUCAGGUAUCAGAACACAAGGUACCAGAGAGAAAAUCUUCCUGCAGGUGGCGCUGUUGUCAUGUCCCACCCGAAUUGAUUUCCAAAUACGUCAUCAACGUGUGACCGUGGGAGAGCGUAAGGUCAUUGACCUCACCGGAGUUUUACCGUGGUUCAGGCUCCUAACGACACAAGGUAAGUUUAACUUUUUCUCCCUUUUGUUCAUAUUUUUGCCACAGUUGUGUUAUAUUAAGUUGCAGUUAUGUUGUGAAAGUUACAUAUCAGAGACGGAAAGCCAGUUUUGUACGAAACCAAAUCAGUACUAUUUUUGUCUGGCUAAUUCAUUCUAGCUAGCGACAGUGGUGAAACGUGAUUCAAAUUUAAACUGUUCAGUAAUUGUUUUGUAUACAUUUCAGCAAAUGGACAAGCUGAAAGCUUACGAGCAGCCUGCAUCCUUUCUGUCGCUCUUUUUCUUUAUUUCUCUUUUCUAUAUUGCUACUGUCGGGAUAUUUUUUGAUCCCGAUUUUUUUUUCUGUUAUUGUUUUUAGACUUUGCUGCAAUAUGUCAUCUGACGAUGAUGAAAGGAGUAUCCGACUCUGGCUGGUUCCCAUGACUGUACCAAAAAUACUUUUUUUUUUAUUAAAAAAAGAGCAUUAAAAAUAAAUGACUAAAGUACAACUUAUUUAUUAACUACUGUUCACCUAUUUAAUAUCAAAGAAGUGUAUUUUUUGCUACACGUUUUAUUUGUGGGCACUGAAUUGACGAUGCUUUUAGUGUAAUUGCCACAUAAAAAGAUUUAGUACUUUACUGGUUAAUUACUUAUGUUCAGUGUAAGAGGUGGGUGAUCAAUUAGACUGUUGUUGUUACACUUAACCUUUCAAGAUAUGAUGAUAAUAACAUUGUUCAACAAAG
This is a long non-coding RNA of Astatotilapia calliptera (eastern happy), 2118 nucleotides long. The record is from Ensembl. Lineage: Eukaryota; Metazoa; Chordata; Actinopteri; Cichliformes; Cichlidae.